GGAUUGGUAGCUCAGUUGGUAGAGCANNUGGGUCCAGGGUUCGAGCCCCUGCCAGUCCA
This 59-nucleotide transfer RNA is filed under the name Aerococcus urinaeequi. RNAcentral's name for it is "tRNA-Ser". It matches the Rfam family "tRNA". Rfam says of the family: Transfer RNA (tRNA) molecules are approximately 80 nucleotides in length. Their secondary structure includes four short double-helical elements and three loops (D, anti-codon, and T loops). The record is from RNAcentral. Lineage: Bacteria; Bacillati; Bacillota; Bacilli; Lactobacillales; Aerococcaceae.